UACAGAGGGUGCGAGCGUUAAUCGGAAUUACUGGGCGUAAAGCGUGCGUAGACGGCUAUCUAAGUCGGGUGUGAGAGCCCCGGGCUCAACCUGGGAAUUGCAUUCGAGACUGAAUAGCUAGGGUACGGUAGAGGGAAGUGGAAUUUCCGGUGUAGCGGUGAAAUGCGUAGAUAUCGGAAGGAACAUCAGUGGCGAAAGCGACUUCCUGGACCAGUACCGACGUUCAGGCACGAAAGCGUGGGGAGCAAACAGG
Molecule: ribosomal RNA, 253 nt
Filed under: uncultured bacterium
Lineage: Bacteria
Description: partial 16S ribosomal RNA
Rfam family: Bacterial small subunit ribosomal RNA
Source: RNAcentral